Long non-coding RNA from Arabidopsis lyrata subsp. lyrata, 1402 nucleotides. RefSeq lists it as uncharacterized. The record is from RefSeq and is a predicted model, not a curated record. The transcript has 3 exons. NCBI's taxonomy places the organism in Eukaryota, Viridiplantae, Streptophyta, Magnoliopsida, Brassicales, Brassicaceae.
CGGUGGCGGAGAGUUCGUUGGAGGCGAUUUAACCGGCAGUAUAAAAUGGUGUUGGUACAAUAUGUUGAGACGACACAAUCUGGUACAUGUAAGGCAUUUUGUCAAUUCUAAAAACAUAAUCAAUCAAACAAAUUAUCUUCGUCUCUUUGACUCUUUCUCUCGGUCGUGUUCAUCAUUGAAUCCCAGCUUCUUCGAAGUGAUCCUUCACUUGUACACUGCGAUUUUCUGUUUUUCUUCAACGAUUGCUAACAGGGAAAACCUAACCGUUGAGCUAAUCCACCGUGACUCUCCUCAUUCUCCACUUUACAACCCUCACCACACCGUCUCCGACGGUCUCAACGCUACUUUCCUCCGCUCAAUCUCACGCUCUCGCCGUUUCAAUACCAAAACCGACCUCCAAUCCGGGUUGAUUUCAAAUGGCGGCGAAUACUUGAUGAGUAUCUCAAUCGGUACUCCUCCGUCGAAAGUCCUUGCCAUCGCUGACACGGGAAGUGACCUAACUUGGGUUCAAUGCAAGCCAUAUCAACAAUGUUACAAACAAAACAGUCCACUCUUCGACAAGAAGAAAUCUAAGGAAAAGGAAGGAGAAAAACCCUAACGAAAUUCCUACCAUUUUUGUUUUCAUUUGCAGUUGCGAAUUGGGAUUGGCUAAAGCAGCUCCGAUUGCACAAAAAUGGCUUCUCGUAUCAUCAUCAAUCAUUCCUAAAAGGUUCUUAAACUUGGACGCACCAUGCGGCUUUGUAAGGUCUCAAAUGUCAAAUCUCUGAGAUUGGAAAAUGAAGCAACCAUUGAUUUCUGGAAAUGCUUAUCUUAUCGUGUUAAAAGGUAAACUUUGUGCUGAUGUGUAAUUCUCUGUUAGCGAAAACAUAUUUAUAGAUGUCAUAGUCUCUUGGCGUUUAGGUUAGAGAAUUUAAGAAAUUCGUGUUGAGAAAGUAUAGAAUAUCUUUACAAAUCUUUGAUUCAAUAAUAUAUAGAAUAUGCUUUAUAGAUAAUUCGUCAAAAUUAAGAACAAAUAGUUUGAUUUAUUAGACAUUUCCAAUUGAUGUUGUGUAUAUUGAAUGUAGACAUUAUAUUGUUCAAUUUUAUUAGGAAACUGAAUAGAUUUGUAGAAUAUAUUUAGCAUAUAAAUGGGAUACAAUGAGAUAAACAAAUCGUCAGAAAUUAAAGUAUAUUGUUAGGAUUCCAUGUUUAGUUGUUAUAAUCGUAUAAUUAAUGUUGUAAUUAUUGUAGAAAAAAUCUUACCAAAAUAGAUUAUACAUAAUAAUAGUCAAAAUUUGUGGAAGAGAUUCCAUUGUUAGGAUUUGUUAGAUUAGGAAUGUAAUUAAGAGGAUAUUUAGUCGAAUUAGUUGAUUUUUUUUUUGGAAAGUCGCAUUUAAAAGAAUCCGAGAGUUUUGAUUGGCCA